This 662-nucleotide ribosomal RNA is filed under the name bacterium SVAL2.18. Its description in RNAcentral is "bacterial SSU rRNA". It matches the Rfam family "Bacterial small subunit ribosomal RNA", at positions 57 to 766 of the family's 1533-position model. The record is from RNAcentral.
GCAGUCGAGCGAGACCUUCGGGUCUAGCGGCGGACGGGUUAGUAACGCGUGGGAAUAUACCCUUCACUACGGAAUAGCCUCGGGAAACUGGGAGUAAUACCGUAUACGCCCUUUUGGGGAAAGAUUUAUCGGUGAAGGAUUAGCCCGCGUCUGAUUAGAUAGUUGGUGGGGUAAUGGCCUACCAAGUCUACGAUCAGUAGCUGGUUUGAGAGGAUGAUCAGCAACACUGGGACUGAGACACGGCCCAGACUCCUACGGGAGGCAGCAGUGGGGAAUCUUAGACAAUGGGCGCAAGCCUGAUCUAGCCAUGCCGCGUGAGUGACGAAGGCCUUAGGGUCGUAAAGCUCUUUCGCCAGAGAUGAUAAUGACAGUAUCUGGUAAAGAAACCCCGGCUAACUCCGUGCCAGCAGCCGCGGUAAUACGGAGGGGGUUAGCGUUGUUCGGAAUUACUGGGCGUAAAGCGCACGUAGGCGGAUUGGAAAGUAUGGGGUGAAAUCCCAGGGCUCAACCCUGGAACUGCCUUGUAAACUCCCAGUCUAGAGUUCGAGAGAGGUGAGUGGAAUUCCAAGUGUAGAGGUGAAAUUCGUAGAUAUUUGGAGGAACACCAGUGGCGAAGGCGGCUCACUGGCUCGAUACUGACGCUGAGGUGCGAAAGUGUGGGG